CUCGGGUUUCUCACCUAUGAAGGGGAGAUAGCACUUAUCUCAGAGGAAUGUGCAGAGAAUUAGUGAGAUGAAGUACCAAACUCACGGGCGUGUGCCUGGCUAAGGGGACAUGGGUGUUUGCCAGAUGGCCUGCUAAGCCCCAACUUGGAGCAUCUGAAUGGAGAUUCUGGGACAUCUGACCUCUGCAGUGAGAAGAUGCUGUGCCUGAGCCGCUGCCCCACGAGCAUCUGGGUGCCGGGCUGCAUUCACGUAUCGCGGAGCCGUUCCAGCCGACCUGCAGACUUGCAGCCUGAAGCUGAGCCAUGCAGCAGACAUGCAGAGGCCUGAAUGGGAUUUGACUGCUUAUUUUUGUCCGUCACUGUGAUUGGGGGGUUGUUACACAGCAAUGCCUAACAGUUACACGUGUGAAUUUCAUUUAUUAAUAUUUUAGAAAAUGUAUUAAGUUAUUGGAAAUAAAACAUGUGUUUAGGCUGGGUUUUAUUGUUUGGGGUAAAAAACGGUGACUAACAUAAUAAUAUGUAUGUACUUGCUUUAUAUGUAUACUUGACUUUUCAAAAUGAUUAUCUGGAAAAGGACAGCAUGCGUCUGUAUAUGUAUAUCUAGGAAUGUAUGACCAAAGAAGCAGACAAAGUAUACAAAGUCACCGUUAUGCUUUGUUAUAUGUAUUAUCUCCUAAUUAGAUGUCUUGAUUAUGGUUUCUUAGCUUUUGUUGGUUUUGCACCAAUUUUCAAUUUCAUAGCCUCUGCCUGA
Dama dama (fallow deer) is the source of this 750-nucleotide long non-coding RNA. RefSeq lists it as uncharacterized. The record is from RefSeq and is a predicted model, not a curated record. Lineage: Eukaryota; Metazoa; Chordata; Mammalia; Artiodactyla; Cervidae. The transcript is spliced from 3 exons.